This 792-nucleotide ribosomal RNA is filed under the name Pavlova sp. CCMP459. RNAcentral's name for it is "partial Bacterial small subunit ribosomal RNA". It matches the Rfam family "Bacterial small subunit ribosomal RNA", at positions 1 to 811 of the family's 1533-position model. Lineage: Eukaryota; Haptophyta; Pavlovophyceae; Pavlovales; Pavlovaceae. The record is from RNAcentral.
ACGGAGAGUUUGAUCCUGGCUCAGGACGAACGCUGGCGGCGUGCUUAACACAUGCAAGUCGAACGGUAAGGCCCCUUCGGGGGUACACGAGUGGCGAACGGGUGAGUAACACGUGAGCAACCUGCCCUUGACUUCGGAAUACCAGCUGGAAACAGCUGCUAAUACCGGAUAUGACACUUGCCCUCCUGGGUGGGUGUGGAAAGCUCCGGCGGUCAGGGAUGGGCUCGCGGCCUAUCAGCUUGUUGGUGAGGUAAUGGCUCACCAAGGCUUCGACGGGUAGCCGGCCUGAGAGGGCGACCGGCCACACUGGGACUGAGAUACGGCCCAGACUCCUACGGGAGGCAGCAGUGGGGAAUAUUGCACAAUGGGCGGAAGCCUGAUGCAGCAACGCCGCGUGCGGGAUGACGGCCUUCGGGUUGUAAACCGCUUUCAGUAGGGACGAAGCUAACGUGACGGUACCUACAGAAGAAGGACCGGCUAACUACGUGCCAGCAGCCGCGGUAAUACGUAGGGUGCAAGCGUUGUCCGGAAUUAUUGGGCGUAAAGAGCUCGUAGGCGGUUUGUCGCGUCUGCUGUGAAAGCCCGGGGCUUAACCCCGGGUGUGCAGUGGGUACGGGCAGACUAGAGUGCAGUAGGGGAGACUGGAAUUCCUGGUGUAGCGGUGGAAUGCGCAGAUAUCAGGAGGAACACCGAUGGCGAAGGCAGGUCUCUGGGCUGUUACUGACGCUGAGGAGCGAAAGCAUGGGGAGCGAACAGGAUUAGAUACCCUGGUAGUCCACGCCGUAAACGAUG